CCUACGGGAGGCAGCAGUGAGGACUAUUGGUCAAUGGACGAGAGUCUGAACCAGCCAAGUAGCGUGAAGGAUGACUGCCCUAUGGGUUUUAAACUUCUUUUAUAUGGGAAUAAAAUGUUCCACGUGUGGGAUUUUGUAUGUACCAUAUGAGUAAAGAUCGGCUAACUCCGUGCCAGCAGCCGCGGUCAUACGUAGGAUCCAAGCAUUAUCCGGAGUGACGUGGUGUAAAGAGUUGCGUAUGUGGCAUAAUAAGUAGCUAGAGAAAUCUGGUGGCUCAACCAUUCAGACUAUUAGCUAAACUGUUAAGCUCGAGACAGGGAGGGGUAACUGGAAUUUCUAGUGUAGGAGUGAAGUCCGUAGAUAUUAGAAGGAACACCAAUAGCGUAGGCAGGUUACUGGGACGGUUCUGACACUAAGGCACGAAAGCGUAGGGAGCAAACGGGAUUAGAUACCCUUGUAGUC
This 462-nucleotide ribosomal RNA is filed under the name uncultured bacterium. RNAcentral describes it as "partial 16S ribosomal RNA". It matches the Rfam family "Bacterial small subunit ribosomal RNA", at positions 338 to 795 of the family's 1533-position model. The record is from RNAcentral.